GGCUGAGCGGGAGGUGGGAGCAAGUACCAAAGAAGUACCAAAAAAGACCGGGUGAGGUGGGAUGAAAAUAAAACCCGGAACGCAACCUAUCAACUGAGACAUUAGGAGUAGAGAUAUUAACAAAAGUGCAGAUCACGUCCCACUCUUCACUUUUUGACAAAAAACUUCCAAAUAGCAAUCUUGGUGAGUGAUCUCGACCGGGUUCGAUCGGCAUGGCGUGUCGUUCCUCCAGGAGUGGGUGCUGAGAGGAAGGAUGGCAAACCUCCAUUGUCAAUCGGCCAGAGCUGCAUCGUCAUUUGGAUCAGAGCAUGGACGAAAUCGAGAUGGUAGAGGUUGAGGAAUUUGUAGGACGUGAGGGUUUAGGGUGGGCAUCACGAGAACUCACCCAUAUCUUGGGAGACGGCAGACCCGAGGUGCAGUCGUGUUCGUGCUUCAGGGGCUGCCACGUGCUGUCCUCGCCGCCAUCGCCUGUCGAUGCCACUUCAGCGCCACGAGCAUGGG
Molecule: long non-coding RNA, 501 nt
Filed under: Triticum aestivum (bread wheat)
Lineage: Eukaryota; Viridiplantae; Streptophyta; Magnoliopsida; Poales; Poaceae
Description: long non-coding RNA (TAES_LNC016046)
Source: RNAcentral